RNAcentral lists this ribosomal RNA (1073 nucleotides) under Ascochyta coronillae-emeri. RNAcentral describes it as "SSU rRNA". It matches the Rfam family "Eukaryotic small subunit ribosomal RNA", at positions 20 to 1102 of the family's 1831-position model. The record is from RNAcentral. Lineage: Eukaryota; Fungi; Ascomycota; Dothideomycetes; Pleosporales; Didymellaceae. RNAcentral also lists the same sequence under 3 other names.
GUAGUCAUAUGCUUGUCUCAAAGAUUAAGCCAUGCAUGUCUAAGUAUAAGCAAUUAUACCGUGAAACUGCGAAUGGCUCAUUAAAUCAGUUAUCGUUUAUUUGAUAGUACCUUACUACUUGGAUAACCGUGGUAAUUCUAGAGCUAAUACAUGCUGAAAACCCCAACUUCGGGAGGGGUGUAUUUAUUAGAUAAAAAACCAACGCCCUUCGGGGCUUCUUGGUGAUUCAUGAUAACUUCACGGAUCGCAUGGCCUUGCGCCGGCGACGGUUCAUUCAAAUUUCUGCCCUAUCAACUUUCGAUGGUAAGGUAUUGGCUUACCAUGGUUUCAACGGGUAACGGGGAAUUAGGGUUCGAUUCCGGAGAGGGAGCCUGAGAAACGGCUACCACAUCCAAGGAAGGCAGCAGGCGCGCAAAUUACCCAAUCCCGACACGGGGAGGUAGUGACAAUAAAUACUGAUACAGGGCUCUUUUGGGUCUUGUAAUUGGAAUGAGUACAAUUUAAACCUCUUAACGAGGAACAAUUGGAGGGCAAGUCUGGUGCCAGCAGCCGCGGUAAUUCCAGCUCCAAUAGCGUAUAUUAAAGUUGUUGCAGUUAAAAAGCUCGUAGUUGAAACUUGGGCCUGGCUGGCAGGUCCGCCUCACCGCGUGUACUUGUCCGGCCGGGCCUUUCCUUCUGGAGAACCUCAUGCCCUUCACUGGGUGUGUUGGGGAACCAGGACUUUUACUUUGAAAAAAUUAGAGUGUUCAAAGCAGGCCUUUGCUCGAAUACGUUAGCAUGGAAUAAUAGAAUAGGACGUGCGGUCCUAUUUUGUUGGUUUCUAGGACCGCCGUAAUGAUUAAUAGGGACAGUCGGGGGCAUCAGUAUUCAAUUGUCAGAGGUGAAAUUCUUGGAUUUAUUGAAGACUAACUACUGCGAAAGCAUUUGCCAAGGAUGUUUUCAUUAAUCAGUGAACGAAAGUUAGGGGAUCGAAGACGAUCAGAUACCGUCGUAGUCUUAACCGUAAACUAUGCCGACUAGGGAUCGGGCGAUGUUCUUUUUCUGACUCGCUCGGCACCUUACGAGAAAUCAAA